AAACAAUCACACCCUAGGCCAACCCCAACCUCUCUCACCACCAAAGGAACACAAGUGAACAACACAAGCAACGCUGACACCAAACUCUACAUACAUUAAACAUAAUAGAAACACCGCCACCCGACCCCACCCCUACCCAUCUUCCCUCUCUCCACCCCCCCUUUCUUUUUUCUUUUUCUUUUUUUCCUUCUCCCCCUAAUGCCUCAACAAAUGAAAUGGAUUUGUAAAAAUGUUAC
This is a non-coding RNA of Podarcis lilfordi (Lilford's wall lizard), 236 nucleotides long. The record is from the annotation of a GenBank genome assembly. NCBI's taxonomy places the organism in Eukaryota, Metazoa, Chordata, Lepidosauria, Squamata, Lacertidae.